RNAcentral lists this ribosomal RNA (903 nucleotides) under uncultured bacterium. RNAcentral describes it as "bacterial SSU rRNA". It matches the Rfam family "Bacterial small subunit ribosomal RNA", at positions 49 to 969 of the family's 1533-position model. The record is from RNAcentral.
CUAUGCAUGCAGUCGAACGGGCGAAGGGGCUUCGGCCCCCUAGCUAGUGGCAGACGGCUGAGUAAUACGUAAGUGAUCUACCCCGGAGAGGGGGAUAAGCCGAAGAAAUCCGGUCUAAUACCCCGUACGCUCCCUCUAUUACGGUAGAGAGAGGAAAGUUCCGGCGCUCUGGGAGGAGCUUGCGGCCUAUCAUGGUAGUUGGUGGGGUAAAAGCCUACCAAGCCGAAGACGGGUAACCGGUGUGAGAGCACGAUCGGUCAGAGGGGGACUGAGACACGGCCCCCACUCCUACGGGAGGCAGCAGCAGGGAAUCUUGCGCAAUGGGCGAAAGCCUGACGCAGCGACACCGCGUGGGGGAUGAAGGCUCUCGAGUUGUAAACCCCUUUUCUCGGGGAAGAGACAGGACGGUACCCGAGGAAUAAGGUUCGGCUAACUACGUGCCAGCAGCCGCGGUAAUACGUAGGAACCGAGCGUUGUCCGGAUUUACUGGGCGUAAAGUGCGCGUAGGCGGUUCGUUAAGUCUCAUGUGAAAUCUCCCGGCUCAACUGGGAGGGGUCAUGGGAUACUGGCAGACUUGAGUACAGCAGAGGGGAGUGGAAUUCCCGGAGUAGUGGUGGAAUGCGUAGAUACCGGGAGGAACACCAGAGGCGAAGGCGACUCCCUGGGCUGUGUCUGACGCUGAGGCGCGAAAGCGUGGGUAGCAAACCGGAUUAGAUACCCGGGUAGUCCACGCCCUAAACGAUGGAUACUAGGUAUGGGGGGUAUCGACCCCCUCCGUGCCGCAGCUAACGCAUUAAGUAUCCCGCCUGAGGAGUACGGCCGCAAGGCUAAAACUCAAAGGAAUUGACGGGGACCCGCACAAGCAGCGGAUCGUGUGGUUUAAUUCGAUGAUAAGCGAAGAAC